UUAACGCGAAGAACCUUACCAUCCUUUGACAUGGUGUGUUACCCAGAGAGAUCUGGGGUCCCCUUCGGGGGCGCGCACACAGGUGCCGCAUGGCUGUCGUCAGCUCGUGUCGUGAGAUGUUGGGUUAAGUCCCGCAACGAGCGCAACCCACGUCCUUAGUUGCCAUCAUUCAGUUGGGCACUCUAGGGAGACUGCCGGUGAUAAGCCGCGAGGAAGGUGUGGAUGUCGUCAAGUCCUCAUGGCCCUUACGGGAUGGGCUACACACGUGCUACAAUGGCGGUGACAGUGGGAGGCGAAGGAGCGAUCUGGAGCAAAUCCCCAAAAGCCGUCUCAGUUCGGAUUGCACUCUGCAACUCGAGUGCAUGAAGGCGGAAUCGCUAGUAAUC
This 386-nucleotide ribosomal RNA is filed under the name uncultured bacterium. Its description in RNAcentral is "bacterial SSU rRNA". It matches the Rfam family "Bacterial small subunit ribosomal RNA", at positions 956 to 1343 of the family's 1533-position model. The record is from RNAcentral.